CACGCGGCGCGCACGGGGCGGAGCGCCGGCUGCGAGGGCGAUGCGCCACUGCCCCCCACUAAACGAAAACUUUCUCUGUGGCAGAGAGUGAGUGACGUUACUAAGCUGGGAGCAUAUUUGCAUUUUGACGGUCCGGAGCGACUAGACUUAUAUCAUUUCGAAAGCGGCGUCUGGAUGCUGAGUGCGCGAGGCGCGGCGCCCACGAGGCUGGAGCGCGCCGUGCGGCGGC
Long non-coding RNA from Papilio xuthus (Asian swallowtail), 229 nucleotides. RefSeq lists it as uncharacterized. The transcript has 3 exons. The record is from RefSeq and is a predicted model, not a curated record. NCBI's taxonomy places the organism in Eukaryota, Metazoa, Arthropoda, Insecta, Lepidoptera, Papilionidae.